Non-coding RNA from Oncorhynchus mykiss (rainbow trout), 1950 nucleotides. The record is from RefSeq and is a predicted model, not a curated record. NCBI's taxonomy places the organism in Eukaryota, Metazoa, Chordata, Actinopteri, Salmoniformes, Salmonidae.
GUCCCCUCCCCAGCCUCAGCACCAGCCUCAGCCCCUCUGACGACCUACCAUGCCCCUGAUCGUGGAUGCUGUGUGGGCCGUGUGGAGCAUCGGGGCCGGGGUCUAUGACUACUUCCACACCAGUGCCAUGGAGGAACGCAUCGGCAACCUGGAGAGCGUCCUGACCAUCCACCAGUGUGUCAUAGCAGCUCUGUCCGCAGGCCUCGUCCUCCUCAUGACCUACAUACUGUGGAGAAAACACUGAAGCCAUGGUUGUAUUCAGUCAGUGAGAUGGCACCGGGGGGGUAAGUUUCCCCUAGGUACAGAUCUUGGAUCAUUUCCCCCUCCCUCAAUCCUAUCUGUAACCAGUAGUGGGGGAAAAUACUAAACUGACCCAAGAUCAGCAUCUAGGGGCAACUUCACCCUACUCUAGCGGAGAUGGGAGAUGAGACGGUCCUAGAUACUCCAGACCUAAGGACUGCAUUACGGAUAGCAUCGGCUACUCACCAGACUAACAGCCAGUCCCAAAUCACUCCCUAACCCUCCCCCAUUGUCUUAUGUCAUAUCAUGCGAUGACUGUCAGUUUAGGGGCGGGGCAUCGUGUAGGAGUGACGCCACCUAGCAUAAGAUAAGGACCUUGGCACUAACCCUUAGGUGUUGGCAGAUCUGAAGGGUCUUGAUAGGUAUAAGCAGUGUAACGCUGGAUCAUCACAUUACUACUGGAGCUCAACAGACAGUCCUCAACCCCUCCCUAGUCCUUCCCCUCGGCCCUGACCCUCAAAUGAACAGUCUGGAUAGGUAAUGACAACUGGGUAGGUAUAGGAUUCUGUUUCAUCAAAGCACUACUAUUGGAAGACGAGCUCAAGAGACCACGAGGAGUUGCUUGUGGAAGCUUCCUGGUGGAAAGUAGCCCUGGUAUACAGUGCAAAGGCUCUAUCAGAGCUGGUUGGAGUAGAGUCAUCCCUCCAGGUCUCGUUCAUCACUCUGCCGUUACUUGGAACGGGAUUGAGAGGAAGUCUGGGAGCUGAGGGAAGCUGGAGAGGGGUUCUUCAAUCUGAGAGCUCGAGUGCCGUGUUGACUGUAGCCUGGUCCCCAGAUCUGUUUGUGCUAUUGUGUCAACUCCUUGCCAUGCCAAACAUGGAAUUGACAUGAUAGCGCCAACAGAUCUGGGACCAGUCUAUCAUGACCGGCUGUGAUCAGAAAACACUGUAUUUUGCUACUGUGUGGAUACUGACGUCUCUAGCCUGGUCCCUGAUCUGUUUGUGCUGUCUUGCCAACAAUGACCAUAAGGACCGUAGGCGUGGGCAAGACCAUACAAACAGAUCUAGGACCAGGCUAACUCAGGCCAUCAUCCAUUGAAUGUGAUUGAUUCAUUUUGGGACUGUUAUAUUGCCGAAAGGGAUUUGUGAAACAUGGCUUCUGUCCAUGUCACUGUAGAAUAAGCCAACAUAAUAAUGACACUGUUGGGACUAAACAUUAUAAACCGCUUUUCUUAAAAAGGUGUUUAUCUUUCUCUUACAUGGAAGAUUUCAGACAGUUUAAGCCUAGUCCUUAGAAUAAAAAGCCUGGUCAAUGGAGAAUCUCCGUUAAGUUAAUAUAUUUAUAUUUUUUUUUAGCCCAGGACUAGACUUAAACUGUCUGAAAUAUUCCAUGUAAGAGAAAGAUAAACACCUUUUUUUUUUAAAAAGUUACUGUCGAGGUUAAACAUUGUUACACGUUUCCAUGACGAUGACACCUUUCAACGGUUUUCUCUGUAUUUGUACUUCAUAACAUCUCCUUUUUAAAAUCAUGCUUUUAUCAUUGUUGGGUCUGUUCCCUGUCUCCCUGGUUCACUAUUAUCAUGUCUGUCGGCCAUUGUUGUCGACUCAAGUGCUACUGUGCGUAUUUUGCUGAAUCACUACCUGGUUGUUGGUUUCUAUGUGAGCAAACGGUAUUCAUGUCAGGUUAAUAAAUAAUGUGAUUAACUCUGCA